This 253-nucleotide ribosomal RNA is filed under the name uncultured bacterium. Its description in RNAcentral is "partial 16S ribosomal RNA". It matches the Rfam family "Bacterial small subunit ribosomal RNA", at positions 524 to 776 of the family's 1533-position model. The record is from RNAcentral.
GACGUAGGGGGCGAGCGUUGUCCGGAUUUAUUGGGCGUAAAGCGUGCGUAGGCGGCUGCGCAAGUCGGGUGUGAAACCCCGGGGCUCAACCCCGGAACUGCAUCCGAUACUGCGUGGCUAGAGGUAGGUAGGGGAGAUCGGAAUUCCUGGUGUAGCGGUGAAAUGCGCAGAUAUCAGGAGGAACACCGGUGGCGAAGGCGGUUCUCUGGGCAUUACCUGACGCUGAGGAGCGAAAGUGUGGGGAGCGAACAGG